RNAcentral lists this ribosomal RNA (253 nucleotides) under uncultured bacterium. RNAcentral describes it as "partial 16S ribosomal RNA". It matches the Rfam family "Bacterial small subunit ribosomal RNA", at positions 524 to 776 of the family's 1533-position model. The record is from RNAcentral.
UACGGAGGGUGCAAGCGUUAUCCGGAUUUACUGGGCUUAAAGGGUGCGCAGGCGGAUAUGUAAGUCAGUGGUGAAAUCUCUAGGCUUAACCUGGAAAUUGCCGUUGAUACUAUAUGUCUUGAAUGCUGUAGAGGUAAGCGGAAUAUGUCAUGUAGCGGUGAAAUGCUUAGAUAUGACAUAGAACACCUAUUGCGAAGGCAGCUUACUACGCAGAUAUUGACGCUCAUGCACGAAAGCGUGGGGAUCAAACAGG